GCCAGGCAUGGUGGCUCAUGCCUGUAAUCUCAGCACUUUGGGAGGCUGAGGUGGGCGGAUCACUUGAGGUCAGGAGUUCGAGACCAGCCUGGCCAACAUGGUGAAACCCCAUCUCUU
Molecule: unclassified non-coding RNA, 117 nt
Organism: Pongo abelii (Sumatran orangutan)
Lineage: Eukaryota; Metazoa; Chordata; Mammalia; Primates; Hominidae
Rfam family: Metazoan signal recognition particle RNA
About the family: The signal recognition particle (SRP) is a universally conserved ribonucleoprotein. It is involved in the co-translational targeting of proteins to membranes.
Source: Ensembl